GAAGAGCAUUCCAGGUGGAAAGAACCAUAUAAGCAGACACUGGAAAGCAGGGUUUCUUCAAACACCUUUGAUAUACUGCAAGGGCUCUUUCUGAAGGAUGAGGAGGGAGAAGGUGGCCCAGGAGUCCACUGCGAGAUCCGAGGCAAGAGCAGAGCGGGGAUCAGGAGGCUUGAAGCAACCUGAAGGCAGCAGGAAAGAGCUGAUGUCUACUGGAUGCCUGAAGCAACACCUUAAUCUCAAUCUCCCCUGCUGGGAGCAGAUGCAGCGGGGUCCAGACAGACAGAGGCAAGGACUGCAGAGGGA
Long non-coding RNA from Homo sapiens (human), 303 nucleotides. RefSeq lists it as uncharacterized. The transcript is spliced from 4 exons. The record is from RefSeq and is a predicted model, not a curated record. NCBI's taxonomy places the organism in Eukaryota, Metazoa, Chordata, Mammalia, Primates, Hominidae.